CUUUUCUGCAGGCUCACUUCAUAAAAGAUAGACGAUGCAAUACUGCAAGGGCAGUUUUUGCAUUGGAAUCGGAAUACAAGUGGGCUCUGAGUGGGACACCAUUGCAAAAUCGUGUUGGAGAACUUUACUCGCUGAUUCGCUUCUUGCAAAUCUUUCCCUACUCGAACUACUUCUGCAAGGACUGUGACUGUCAGAUACUAGAUACCAAGUAAGA
Triticum aestivum (bread wheat) is the source of this 214-nucleotide long non-coding RNA. RefSeq lists it as uncharacterized. NCBI's taxonomy places the organism in Eukaryota, Viridiplantae, Streptophyta, Magnoliopsida, Poales, Poaceae. The transcript has 2 exons. The record is from RefSeq and is a predicted model, not a curated record.